UUGGAAGUUGACACAAUGAACAGCAGAGAGCAAAGAUUCUAAUUGGAUGUUUGUAUUUAUUUUAUAAUUUACUCUAAAAAAUUUUAGAUAUAAAAAGGGACUCCCACUAUUUUAUCAGAUCUCCCAUACUCUUCGGAUGGAGAAAUAAAAACCCUGAUAUGAUAAUUGGAUUUCUAGUGAGUGCUACGAUCCCACCAAUAUCGUGCA
This 207-nucleotide long non-coding RNA is filed under the name Elaeis guineensis (African oil palm). RNAcentral's name for it is "long non-coding RNA (EGUI_LNC052552)". Lineage: Eukaryota; Viridiplantae; Streptophyta; Magnoliopsida; Arecales; Arecaceae. The record is from RNAcentral.